AUGUGCUGCUUGCCCUUGCUGGGCAAUCCCACCAGGGAUGCCCAGAGGGUUCCCCAGCCCUGGCUCUGGCUUUGGGCACUCCCUGGCUGCUUUUCCUGCUGGAUUUUCAGGUGCAGGUGUGAGCUGGGAGCAGCAGGAGCUGGCCAGGCUGCCCAGGGCAGGAUCCCCACCCCGAGGGGGGUUCCCUGGCCCUUCCCACGCCGCCCUGGCCCUGAGCUGCGAGCAGAGAGCCCUGAAGGAGAAGCAGGAGCAGGAGCAGACCCCUGGCUGGGAUUUCGGGAGCAGCAGGAGCGAGCUGGCCAUCAGGAUAGAGGGCCUGGCAGUGGGAGUUGGCUUCGGGGCCGUCGGGAAAUCCCAGUCUGCCACGUUCCAGAGUGCCAGGAAUUUAGCCAUCGGGAUUGGGAUCCAGAACUUCCCAGAGGGCCUGGCUGUCAGCCUGCCCCUGCGUGGUGCUGGAUUUUCCACGUGGAAAGCCUUCUGGUAUGGGCAGCUGAGUGGGAUGGUGGAGCCCCUGGCCGGGGUCCUGGGCGCCUUGGCCGUGGUGCUGGCGGAGCCGCUCCUGCCCUACGCGCUGGGAUUCGCCGCCGGAGCCAUGGUCUACGUGGUGAUGGACGACAUCAUCCCCGAGGCACAAACCAGUGGCAACGGGAAGUUGGCAUCCUGGACCUCCAUCCUGGGCUUUGUGGUGAUGAUGUCCCUGGACGUGGGGCUGGGGUAGGGCAGAGCUGCGUUCCCAGGAGGACACAGCAGAGCCCCGCCCGCGGGAUCGGGAGCCGGACACGCCUUGGCCCGGGACUGGAUCUGUACAUAGAUUUUUGGGAUCUGGUUUGGUGUUGAUUUCCUCUGAUUUUGUACCUCCCCCUCCCCUCUGAGUUCCUGGAGAUGGUUUCCAAGCACAAAUAUGGGUGGGACCUCCCAGAUCACGGCUUGGUUUUCCUCUUGGAAUGGAUGCUGGAUGACGCUGGGCUGGUUUCUCCAAGGAAAGGCAUUUGGGAUUUUGAUCCUCUCUGUUCUGUCAGAGGCUGGGAAUUCCCUGUCCCAUGUGGAGGCUGGCCUGGGGUCUGGAAAUGGAGUAAGCUCCUUAUGGAGUGUGGGAUUGCACCCUUUUUUGGGAAGGUCGAAGGCAUUAGGACUGUGAUGAGUCUUCCACAUCCUGCUGCUCCUCAGGAACGCUGCAGGGAAUUGCUUUGGGUGCAUGGAGAUAGUCCUGGCAAAUAAAGAUGAAUUUUCUUGGGAUCUCUGCA
Molecule: long non-coding RNA, 1244 nt
Filed under: Serinus canaria (Common canary)
Lineage: Eukaryota; Metazoa; Chordata; Aves; Passeriformes; Fringillidae
Description: lncRNA (ENSSCAG00000013421.1)
Source: RNAcentral